GGCCGUGUAGCUCAAUGGCAGAGCGUCUGACUACGAUUAGUAUCUUGGGAUACUUGAUAUGUGAUCAGAAGGUCGCAGGUUCGACCCCUGUCUCGGUCA
Molecule: transfer RNA, 99 nt
Organism: Pochonia chlamydosporia 170
Lineage: Eukaryota; Fungi; Ascomycota; Sordariomycetes; Hypocreales; Clavicipitaceae
Rfam family: tRNA
About the family: Transfer RNA (tRNA) molecules are approximately 80 nucleotides in length.
Source: Rfam